This 489-nucleotide ribosomal RNA is filed under the name uncultured bacterium. RNAcentral describes it as "partial 16S ribosomal RNA". It matches the Rfam family "Bacterial small subunit ribosomal RNA", at positions 28 to 523 of the family's 1533-position model. The record is from RNAcentral.
GACGAACGCUGGCGGCGUGCUUAACACAUGCAAGUCGAACGCUGAAACCAGAUGCUUGCAUUUGGUGGAUGAGUGGCGAACGGGUGAGUAACACGUGGGUGAUCUGCCCUACACUUUGGGAUAAGCCUGGGAAACUGGGUCUAAUACCGAAUAUUCACACCACCGUAGGGGUGGUGUGGAAAGCUUUAUGCGGUGUGGGAUGAGCCUGCGGCCUAUCAGCUUGUUGGUGGGGUAAUGGCCUACCAAGGCGUCGACGGGUAGCCGGCCUGAGAGGGUGUACGGCCACAUUGGGACUGGGACACGGCCCAGACUCCUACGGGAGGCAGCAGUGGGGAAUAUUGCACAAUGGGCGCAAGCCUGAUGCAGCGACGCCGCGUGGGGGAUGACGGCCUUCGGGUUGUAAACUCCUUUCGCUAGGGACGAAGCCUUUUUUGGUGACGGUACCUGGAGAAGAAGCACCGGCUAACUACGUGCCAGCAGCCGCGGUAA